GACGAACGCUGGCGGCGUGCUUAACACAUGCCAGUCGAACGGAAAGGCCCUGCUUUUGUGGGGUGCUCGAGUGGCGAACGGGUGAGUAACACGUGAGUAACCUGCCCUUGACUUUGGGAUAACUUCAGGAAACUGGGGCUAAUACCGGAUAGGAGCUCCUGCUGCAUGGUGGGGGUUGGAAAGUUUCGGCGGUUGGGGAUGGACUCGCGGCUUAUCAGCUUGUUGGUGGGGUAGUGGCUUACCAAGGCUUUGACGGGUAGCCGGCCUGAGAGGGUGACCGGCAACAUUGGGACUGAGAUACGGCCCAGACUCCUACGGGAGGAAGAAGGGGGGAAUAUUGCACAAUGGGCGGAAGCCUGAUGCAGCAACGCCGCGUGCGGGAUGACGGCCUUCGGGUUGUAAACCGCUUUCGCCUGCGACGAAGCGUGAGUGACGGUAAUGGGUAAAGAAGCACCGGCUAACUACGUG
Molecule: ribosomal RNA, 468 nt
Filed under: uncultured bacterium
Lineage: Bacteria
Description: partial 16S ribosomal RNA
Rfam family: Bacterial small subunit ribosomal RNA
Source: RNAcentral